RNAcentral lists this ribosomal RNA (468 nucleotides) under uncultured bacterium. RNAcentral's name for it is "partial 16S ribosomal RNA". It matches the Rfam family "Bacterial small subunit ribosomal RNA", at positions 28 to 507 of the family's 1533-position model. The record is from RNAcentral.
GACGAACGCUGGCGGCGUGCUUAACACAUGCAAGUCGAACGGAAAGGCCCUGCUUUUGUGGGGUGCUCGAGUGGCGAACGGGUGAGUAACACGUGAGUAACCUGCCCUUGACUUUGGGAUAACUUCAGGAAACUGGGGCUAAUACCGGAUAGGAGCUCCUGCUGCAUGGUGGGGGUUGGAAAGUUUCGGCGGUUGGGGAUGGACUCGCGGGUUAUCAGCUUGUUGGUGGGGUAGUGGCUUACCAAGGCUUUGACGGGUAGCCGGCCUGAGAGGGUGACCGGCCACAUUGGGACUGCGAUACGGACCAGACUCCUACGGGAGGCAGCAGUGGGGAAUAUUGCACAAUGGGCGGAAGCCUGAUGCAGCAACGCCGCGUGCGGGAUGACGGCCUUCGGGUUGUAAACCGCUUUCGCCUGUGACGAAGCGUGAGUGACGGUAAUGGGUAAAGAAGCACCGGCUAACUACGUG